Molecule: ribosomal RNA, 500 nt
Filed under: uncultured bacterium
Lineage: Bacteria
Description: bacterial SSU rRNA
Rfam family: Bacterial small subunit ribosomal RNA
Source: RNAcentral
GCGUGUGUGAAGAAGGCCUUCGGGUUGUAAAGCACUUUUAUCGGGAGCGAAACGCGCCAGACUAAUAUUCUGGUGAACUGACGGUACCCGAGGAAUAAGCACCGGCUAACUCCGUGCCAGCAGCCGCGGUAAUACGGAGGGUGCAAGCGUUAAUCGGAGUUACUGGGCGUAAAGCGUGCGUAGGCGGUAAGUUAAGUCUGCUGUGAAAUCCCUGGGCUCAACCUGGGAAUGGCGGUGGAUACUGGCUUGCUGGAGUACGGUAGAGGAAGAUGGAAUUCCCGGUGUAGCGGUGAAAUGCGUAGAGAUCGGGAGGAACAUCAGUGGCGAAGGCGACGUUCUGGUCCUGUCAUGACACUGAGGCACGAAAGCGUGGGGAACGAACAGGAUCAGAUACCCUGGUAGUCCACGCCCUAAACGUUGGGCGACUGGAGGUGGGAUUCAACAGCAAUCGCCGUCUGGAAGGUAGCAGCGUCAGUAGCUCAACUGACGUGUCCGAGGCC